AAUCAACGCUGGCGGCGUGCCUAACACAUGCAAGUCGAGCGAGAAAGGGUAGCAAUACCCUGAGUAAAGCGGCGCACGGGUGAGUAACACGUGGGUAAUCUGCCCUAGAGUGGGGAAUAACACCGGGAAACCGGUGCUAAUACCGCAUACGAUCACGAUGUCUUCGGAUGUUGUGAUGAAAGGAGCAAUUCGCUCUUGGAGGAGCCCGCGGCUGAUAGCUAGUUGGUAAGGUAAUGGCUUACCAAGGCUACGAUCAGUAUCCGGUCUGAGAGGACGGUCGGACACACUGGAACUGAGACACGGUCCAGACUCCUACGGGAGGCAGCAGUGGGGAAUUUUUCGCAAUGGGCGAAAGCCUGACGCAGCGACGCCGCGUGAGGGAUGAC
RNAcentral lists this ribosomal RNA (386 nucleotides) under uncultured bacterium. Its description in RNAcentral is "bacterial SSU rRNA". It matches the Rfam family "Bacterial small subunit ribosomal RNA", at positions 32 to 412 of the family's 1533-position model. The record is from RNAcentral.